CGCGCCGGCCCCGCCCAAUACCUGCAUAGUCGAACGAACUCUGUGUAUUGCAUUGGUGCUUGCAUCAUGCAUUUACAUUUGAGUGAGUGGCGAACUGGUGAGUAACACGUGGGAAACCUGCCCAGAAGCGGGGGAUAACACCUGCGAAACAGAUGCUAAUACCGCAUAACAACUUGGACCGCAUGGUCCGAGCUUGAAAGAUGGCUUCGGCUAUCACUUUUGGAUGGUCCCGCGGCGUAUUAGCUAGAUGGUGGGGUAACGGCUCACCAUGGCAAUGAUACGUAGCCGACCUGAGAGGGUAAUCGGCCACAUUGGGACUGAGACACGGCCCAAACUCCUACGGGAGGCAGCAGUAGGGAAUCUUCCACAAUGGACGAAAGUCUGAUGGAGCAACGCCGCGUGAGUGAAGAAGGGUUUCGGCUCGUAAAACUCUGUUGUUAAAGAAGAACAUAUCUGAGAGUAACUGUUCAGGUAUUGACGGUAUUUAACCAGAAAGCCACGGCUAACUACGUGCCAGCAGCCGCGGUAAUACGUAGGUGGCAAGCGUUGUCCGGAUUUAUUGGGCGUAAAGCGAGCGCAGGCGGUUUUUUAAGUCUGAUGUGAAAGCCUUCGGCUCAACCGAAGAAGUGCAUCGGAAACUGGGAAACUUGAGUGCAGAAGAGGACAGUGGAACUCCAUGUGUAGCGGUGAAAUGCGUAGAUAUAUGGAAGAACACCAGUGGCGAAGGCGGCUGUCUGGUCUGUAACUGACGCUGAGGCUCGAAAGUAUGGGUAGCAAACAGGAUUAGAUACUCUGGUAGUCCAUACCGUAAACGAUGAAUGCUAAGUGUUGGAGGGUUUCCGCCCUUCAGUGCUGCAGCUAACGCAUUAAGCAUUCCGCCUGGGGAGUACGGCCGCAAGGCUGAAACUCAAAGGAAUUGACGGGGGCCCGCACAAGCGGUGGAGCAUGUGGUUUAAUUCGAAGCUACGCGAAGAACCUUACCAGGUCUUGACAUACUAUGCAAAUCUAAGAGAUUAGACGUUCCCUUCGGGGACAUGGAUACAGGUGGUGCAUGGUUGUCGUCAGCUCGUGUCGUGAGAUGUUGGGUUAAGUCCCGCAACGAGCGCAACCCUUAUUAUCAGUUGCCAGCAUUAAGUUGGGCACUCUGGUGAGACUGCCGGUGAAAAACCGGAGGAAGGGGGGGAUGACGUCAAAUCAUCAUGCCCCUUAUGACCUGGGCUACCCACGGGCUACAAUGGAAGGGACAACAACUGCCAANUCCCAAAAUAACCUAUUUCUUAAACCCUUCCCCNNUCGGAUGUGGGGUUCAACUCCCCCACCUAAAAAACGGAAACCCUUUNNNUCNNGAAAAAAUUUGCGGGGGGGAAAANNUUCCCG
This 1377-nucleotide ribosomal RNA is filed under the name Lactiplantibacillus plantarum. RNAcentral describes it as "bacterial SSU rRNA". It matches the Rfam family "Bacterial small subunit ribosomal RNA", at positions 34 to 1376 of the family's 1533-position model. The record is from RNAcentral. Lineage: Bacteria; Bacillati; Bacillota; Bacilli; Lactobacillales; Lactobacillaceae.